RNAcentral lists this ribosomal RNA (253 nucleotides) under uncultured bacterium. RNAcentral's name for it is "partial 16S ribosomal RNA". It matches the Rfam family "Bacterial small subunit ribosomal RNA", at positions 524 to 776 of the family's 1533-position model. The record is from RNAcentral.
UACGUAGGGCGCAAGCGUUAUCCGGAAUUAUUGGGCGUAAAGAGCUCGUAGGCGGUUUGUCGCGUCUGCCGUGAAAGUCCGGGGCUCAACUCCGGAUCUGCGGUGGGUACGGGCAGACUAGAGUGAUGUAGGGGAGACUGGAGUUCCUGGUGUAGCGGUGAAAUGCGCAGAUAUCAGGAAGAACACCCGUGGCGAAGGCGGUUCUCUGGAACGCAACUGACGCUGAGACGCGAAAGCGUGGGGAGCAAACAGG